GAUGAACGCUGGCGGCGUGCCUAAUACAUGCAAGUCGAGCGAACAGAUGAGGAGCUUGCUCCUCUGACGUUAGCGGCGGACGGGUGAGUAACACGUGGAUAACCUACCUAUAAGACUGGGAUAACUUCGGGAAACCGGAGCUAAUACCGGAUAAUAUAUUGAACCGCAUGGUUCAAUAGUGAAAGACGGUUUUGCUGUCACUUAUAGAUGGAUCCGCGCCGCAUUAGCUAGUUGGUAAGGUAACGGCUUACCAAGGCAACGAUGCGUAGCCGACCUGAGAGGGUGAUCGGCCACACUGGACCUGAGACCCGGUCCAGCCUCCUACGGGAGGCAGCAGUAGGGAAUCUUCCGCAAUGGGCGAAAGCCUGACGGAGCAACGCCGCGUGAGUGAUGAAGGUCUUCGGAUCGUAAAACUCUGUUAUUAGGGAAGAACAAAUGUGUAAGUAACUAUGCACGUCUUGACGGUACCUAAUCAGAAAGCCACGGCUAACUACGU
Molecule: ribosomal RNA, 496 nt
Filed under: uncultured bacterium
Lineage: Bacteria
Description: partial 16S ribosomal RNA
Rfam family: Bacterial small subunit ribosomal RNA
Source: RNAcentral